GACGAACGCUGGCGGCGUGCUUAACACAUGCAAGUCGAACGGAAAGGCCCUGCUUUUGUGGGGUGCUCGAGUGGCGAACGGGUGAGUAACACGUGAGUAACCUGCCCUUGACUUUGGGAUAACUUCAGGAAACUGGGGCUAAUACCGGCUAUGAGCUCCUGCUGCAUGGUGGGGGUUGGAAAGUUUCGGCGGUUGGGGAUGGACUCGCGGCUUAUCCGCUUGUUGGUGGGGUAGUGGCUUACCAAGGCUUUGACGGGUAGCCGGCCUGAGAGGGUGACCGGCCACAUUGGGACUGAGAUACGGCCCAGACUCCUACGGGAGGCAGCAGUGGGGAAUAUUGCACAGUGGGCGGAAGCCUGAUGCAGCAACGCCGCGUGCGGGAUGACAGCCUUCGGGUUGUAAACCGCUUUCGCCUGUGACGAAGCGUAAGUGACGGUAAUGGGUAAAGAAGCACCGGCUAACUACGUG
Molecule: ribosomal RNA, 468 nt
Filed under: uncultured bacterium
Lineage: Bacteria
Description: partial 16S ribosomal RNA
Rfam family: Bacterial small subunit ribosomal RNA
Source: RNAcentral